Molecule: ribosomal RNA, 780 nt
Filed under: uncultured Actinomycetes bacterium
Lineage: Bacteria; Bacillati; Actinomycetota; Actinomycetes
Description: bacterial SSU rRNA
Rfam family: Bacterial small subunit ribosomal RNA
Source: RNAcentral
CGAACGCUCGGCGGAAUGCUUUACACAUGCAAGUCGAACGGCAGCACGGACUUCGGUCUGGUGGCGAGUGGCGAACGGGUGAGUAAUAUAUCGGAACGUAUCCAAUAAUGGGGGAUAACUAAUCGAAAGGUUGGCUAAUACCGCAUACGCCCUACGGGGGAAAGCUAGGGAUCUUCGGACCUGGCGUUAAUGGAGCGGCCGAUAUCUGAUUAGCUUGUUGGUGAGGUAACGGCUCACCAAGGCUACGACGGGUAGCUGGUCUGAGAGGAUGAUCAGCCACACUGGGACUGAGACACGGCCCAGACUCCUACGGGAGGCAGCAGUGGGGAAUCUUGUGCAAUGGACGAAAGUCUGACACAGCCACGCCGCGUGCGGGAAGAAGGCCUUCGGGUUGUAAACCGCUUUCAGCAGGAACGAAAAUGACGGUACCUGCAGAAGAAGGAGCGGCCAACUACGUGCCAGCAGCCGCGGUGACACGUAGGCUCCAAGCGUUGUCCGGAUUUAUUGGGCGUAAAGAGCUCGUAGGCGGUUCAGCAAGUCGGGUGUGAAAACUCUGGGCUCAACCCAGAGCCUGCACCCGAAACUGCUGUGACUAGAGUUCGGUAGGGGAGUGGGGAAUUCCUAGUGUAGCGGUGAAAUGCGCAGAUAUUAGGAGGAACACCGAUGGCGAAGGCACCACUCUGGGCCGAAACUGACGCUGAGGAGCGAAAGCGUGGGUAGCAAACAGGAUUAGAUACCCCUGGUAGUCCACGCCGUAAACGAUGGGCACUAGGUGUGGGU